RNAcentral lists this ribosomal RNA (253 nucleotides) under uncultured bacterium. RNAcentral's name for it is "partial 16S ribosomal RNA". It matches the Rfam family "Bacterial small subunit ribosomal RNA", at positions 524 to 776 of the family's 1533-position model. The record is from RNAcentral.
GACAGAGGGUGCAAACGUUGUUCGGAAUUACUGGGCGUAAAGCGCGUGUAGGCGGCUAUGCAAGUCGGGUGUGAAAUCCCACGGCUCAACCGUGGAAGUGCACUCGAAACUACGUAGCUGGAGUUCUGGAGAGGAAGGUGGAAUGCUCGGUGUAGAGGUGAAAUUCGUAGAUAUCGAGUGGAACACCGGUGGCGAAGGCGGCUCACUGGCCCGGUACUGACGCUGAGGUGCGAAAGCGUGGGGAGCAAACAGG